This 74-nucleotide transfer RNA is filed under the name Nanobdellota archaeon. Its description in RNAcentral is "tRNA-Pro". The record is from RNAcentral. Lineage: Archaea; Nanobdellati; Nanobdellota.
GGGGCUGUGGGGAAGCCUGGUUAUCCUUCGAGUUUAGGGUACUCGCGUCCCCGGUUCAAAUCCGGGCAGCCCCA